Molecule: ribosomal RNA, 253 nt
Filed under: uncultured bacterium
Lineage: Bacteria
Description: partial 16S ribosomal RNA
Rfam family: Bacterial small subunit ribosomal RNA
Source: RNAcentral
GACGAAGGAUGCAAGCGUUAUCCGGAUUCAUUGGGUUUAAAGGGAGCGUAGGCGGCCUUGUAAGUCAGUGGUGAAAUCUCGCAGCUUAACUGCGAAACUGCCAUUGAUACUGCAGGGCUUGAGUACAGAUGCUGUGGGCGGAAUAUGACAUGUAGUGGUGAAAUACAUAGAGAUGUCAUAGAACACCGAUUGCGAAGGCAGCUGACGAAACUGUAACUGACACUGAGGCUCGAAAGUGCGGGGAUCAAACAGG